This 440-nucleotide ribosomal RNA is filed under the name uncultured Clostridium sp. Its description in RNAcentral is "bacterial SSU rRNA". It matches the Rfam family "Bacterial small subunit ribosomal RNA", at positions 338 to 795 of the family's 1533-position model. The record is from RNAcentral. Lineage: Bacteria; Bacillati; Bacillota; Clostridia; Eubacteriales; Clostridiaceae.
CCUACGGGUGGCUGCAGUGGGGAAUAUUGCACAAUGGGCGAAAGCCUGAUGCAGCAACGCCGCGUGAGUGAUGAAGGUCUUCGGAUUGUAAAGCUCUGUCUUUUGGGACGAUAAUGACGGUACCAAAGGAGGAAGCCACGGCUAACUACGUGCCAGCAGCCGCGGUAAUACGUAGGUGGCAAGCGUUGUCCGGAUUUACUGGGCGUAAAGGGUGCGUAGGUGGAUAUUUAAGUCAGAUGUGAAAUCCCUGGGCUCAACCCAGGACCUGCAUUUGAAACUGGAUAUCUUGAGUGCGGGAGAGGUAAGUGGAAUUCCUAGUGUAGCGGUGAAAUGCGUAGAGAUUAGGAAGAACACCAGUGGCGAAGGCGACUUACUGGACCGUAACUGACACUGAGGCACGAAAGCGUGGGUAGCAAACAGGAUUAGAUACCCCUGUAGUC